GUGGAAAUUCUUGAUGCGAAUCUAUCAAUUGGAGUUUAAAAUCUGUAUGUUUUAUCGUCUACGAAAGCGAGGUUCUGGGGUGGCAAGGUGCGCGUGAACGAGGAAAACCGUUAGGAGUGAGAUUAUCAUGGCCAUGGCCAUGGACAUAACACCAGAUUUUGAUCUCCAAGUUGAUAGAUGCGCAUCCAAAUUUCCAU
Molecule: non-coding RNA, 197 nt
Organism: Marchantia polymorpha subsp. ruderalis
Lineage: Eukaryota; Viridiplantae; Streptophyta; Marchantiopsida; Marchantiales; Marchantiaceae
Source: the annotation of a GenBank genome assembly